GUGACUGCGUACCUUUUGUAUAAUGGGUCAGCGACUUAUAUUCUGUAGCAAGGUUAACCGUAUAGGGGAGCCGGAGGGAAACCGAGUCUUAACCGGGCGUUAAGUUGCAGGGUAUAGACCCGAAACCCGGUGAUCUAGCCAUGGGCAGGUUGAAGGUUGGGUAACACUAACUGGAGGACCGAACCGACUAAUGUUGAAAAAUUAGCGGAUGACCUGUGGCUGGGGGUGAAAGGCCAAUCAAACCGGGAGAUAGCUGGUUCUCCCCGAAAGCUAUUUAGGUAGCGCCUCGUGAAUUCAUCUCCGGGGGUAGAGCACUGUUUCGGCUAGGGGGCCAUCCCGGCUUACCAACCCGAUGCAAACUGCGAAUACCGGAGAAUGUUAUCACGGGAGACACACGGCGGGUGCUAACGUCCGUCGUGAAGAGGGAAACAACCCAGACCGCCAGCUAAGGUCCCAAAGUCAUGGUUAAGUGGGAAACGAUGUGGGAAGGCCCAGACAGCCAGGAUGUUGGCUUAGAAGCAGCCAUCAUUUAAAGAAAGCGUAAUAGCUCACUGGUCGAGUCGGCCUGCGCGGAAGAUGUAACGGGGCUAAACCAUGCACCGAAGCUGCGGCAGCGAACGUAUCACCCAAGACAACUUUACGGAGUUGACGAUUGACGGAGCGAAGCGACGUCAAAGCGUUCAUUAAAGUCGAGUUGGCUUAGGGAUACGUUCGUUGGGUAGGGGAGCGUUCUGUAAGCCUGUGAAGGUGUGUCGUGAGGCAUGCUGGAGGUAUCAGAAGUGCGAAUGCUGACAUAAGUAACGAUAAAGCGGGUGAAAAGCCCGCUCGCCGGAAGACCAAGGGUUCCUGUCCAACGUUAAUCGGGGCAGGGUGAGUCGACCCCUAAGGCGAGGCCGAAAGGCGUAGUCGAUGGGAAACGGGUUAAUAUUCCCGUACUUGGUGUUACUGCGAAGGGGGGACGGAGAAGGCUAUGUUGGCCGGGCGACGGUUGUCCCGGUUUAAGCGUGUAGGUGUGUGUUCCAGGUAAAUCCGGUUCACUUUAACACUGAGGCGUGACGACGAGGCACUACGGUGCUGAAGCAACAAAUGCCCUGCUUCCAGGAAAAGCCUCUAAGCAUCAGGUAACACGAAAUCGUACCCCAAACCGACACAGGUGGUCAGGUAGAGAAUACCAAGGCGCUUGAGAGAACUCGGGUGAAGGAACUAGGCAAAAUGGUGCCGUAACUUCGGGAGAAGGCACGCUGACACGUAGGUGAAGUGAUUUACUCAUGGAGCUGAAGUCAGUCGAAGAUACCAGCUGGCUGCAACUGUUUAUUAAAAACACAGCACUGUGCAAACACGAAAGUGGACGUAUACGGUGUGACGCCUGCCCGGUGCCGGAAGGUUAAUUGAUGGGGUCAGCGCAAGCGAAGCUCCUGAUCGAAGCCCCGGUAAACGGCGGCCGUAACUAUAACGGUCCUAAGGUAGCGAAAUUCCUUGUCGGGUAAGUUCCGACCUGCACGAAUGGCGUAAUGAUGGCCAGGCUGUCUCCACCCGAGACUCAGUGAAAUUGAACUCGCUGUGAAGAUGCAGUGUACCCGCGGCAAGACGGAAAGACCCCGUGAACCUUUACUAUAGCUUGACACUGAACAUUGAGCCUUGAUGUGUAGGAUAGGUGGGAGGCUUUGAAGUGUGGACGCCAGUCUGCAUGGAGCCGACCUUGAAAUACCACCCUUUAAUGUUUGAUGUUCUAACGUGGACCCGUAAUCCGGGUUGCGGACAGUGUCUGGUGGGUAGUUUGACUGGGGCGGUCUCCUCCUAAAGAGUAACGGAGGAGCACGAAGGUUGGCUAAUCCUGGUCGGACAUCAGGAGGUUAGUGCAAUGGCAUAAGCCAGCUUGACUGCGAGCGUGACGGCGCGAGCAGGUGCGAAAGCAGGUCAUAGUGAUCCGGUGGUUCUGAAUGGAAGGGCCAUCGCUCAACGGAUAAAAGGUACUCCGGGGAUAACAGGCUGAUACCGCCCAAGAGUUCAUAUCGACGGCGGUGUUUGGCACCUCGAUGUCGGCUCAUCACAUCCUGGGGCUGAAGUAGGUCCCAAGGGUAUGGCUGUUCGCCAUUUAAAGUGGUACGCGAGCUGGGUUUAGAACGUCGUGAGACAGUUCGGUCCCUAUCUGCCGUGGGCGCUGGAGAACUGAGGGGGGCUGCUCCUAGUACGAGAGGACCGGAGUGGACGCAUCACUGGUGUUCGGGUUGUCAUGCCAAUGGCACUGCCCGGUAGCUAAAUGCGGAAGAGAUAAGUGCUGAAAGCAUCUAAGCACGAAACUUGCCCCGAGAUGAGUUCUCCCUGAGACUUAGAGUCUCCUGAAGGAACGUUGAAGACGACGACGUUGAUAGGCCGGGUGUGUAAGCGCAGCGAUGCGUUGAGCUAACCGGUACUAAUGAACCGUGAGGCUUAACCUU
This 2438-nucleotide ribosomal RNA is filed under the name Salmonella enterica subsp. enterica serovar Typhimurium str. DT104. Its description in RNAcentral is "bacterial LSU rRNA". It matches the Rfam family "Bacterial large subunit ribosomal RNA", at positions 593 to 2925 of the family's 2925-position model. The record is from RNAcentral. Lineage: Bacteria; Pseudomonadati; Pseudomonadota; Gammaproteobacteria; Enterobacterales; Enterobacteriaceae.